GCAACUCUCACUGGGACUUGACUCCACAGUCAUUUAGAACCACCCAGGGCUCAGAUGUACUGGUAAAGUUUGAAAAAAUUCUACUCUAAAUUUUCUGUUGACCUCUGACCCAAGUACUAAAAUAAAGUGAAUUUGAUUUAGUCACGUUAUAUAUAGAAUAAAACAGUUGCUAAGCUCUGUGUCAUUGCACAAAUAGGAUACCUCCUUAAAGAGAUGGAAAUUUGUCCAAGCCAUGCAACUAGUUUAAAAAAUUAGAGAUCUCAGCCCUGGUGUCCUGCUUGUUGAUCUUGGGAGUUUGUGACACCACGAUGCAAAUGUGCCUACACGCGUGUGGGAGUAAACCCUGCCAUGUGUCUGUUGUUGGAAGUGGGGUGAGGAGUCUGGAGUACUAGUAAAAGGAAGGGCCAAGCACCCAGGAGUCACAACAGUUAUAAAAGCUCUGCAACAGUAAAAAGGCUGGACAUGCACAAGAGAGAUUAUUUAAAAUACUUUGAACUCUUAACAUAAGUGGUAAGUGAAAAUCUUUCCAGGAAGGCCUUCUGAGUGCUCCACAUAAACUGGUUUUUAGCACAUUUUUUUGGCAAUAUUGACACAUAUUUUAAUAUAAUAGAAUUACCAUAUACAGACAGCUCUGCUGUUGCUCACUUAAGUCCCCAGAAUGAAAAGCAGCAGGUAACAGGUCGCCAAGGCCACCUUACCCCCGCCUUUCCUUUGUAAGAUAACCAAAUGCAAGACAUUUUUUUUUUUAACACUUGGCACCAAAAGGAGUAAGAAGGCUGCCUACACUUCUGAGUUGAGACUAAGUGGGGCCACAGAAUUUCAGUAAAUGGAGCCUGUGCUGCUUCUCUUUAGAUGUUCAUUUUUCUAAAUCAAGCAAAACAUGUUAAUAACUUCUAGAAUAUCAGCAUAAUGCAGCCUGUAUUGUAAAACCAUAUCCUUAAACCAUGUCCAGAUGUUUUUUCCCAGUCUAUUAGAAAAUGGGCUAAAUAUCCACAUUACAAGCGGUACAAUUUGCUCCUCUGGUAGCUAGAGAACACACACCAUCAGAUGUAGACAAAAUCGUAGAUCACACUAUCUCAAUCAAUUCCAGUGUUUCCAACUCUGAGACCACUAAAAUAUCUCCACCAUCUCUAUAGCAUGUUGCCCUCAAGAUUCACUGCAUUUAUUAUUAAAAAAUAGCUCAUGGGUUUAUGGGCUUCCCAGGUGACUCAGUGGUAAAGAAUCUGUCUGCCAAGCAGGAGAUGCAGGUUCGAUCCCUGGAUCAGGAAGAUCCCUGGAGAAGGAAAUGGCUACCCAUUCCAGUAUCUUGCCUGGGAAAGCCCAUGGGCAGAGGAGCCUGAGGAGCCUGGCGAGCUGCAGUCCAUGGGGUUGCAAAAGAGUUAGACACAACUUAGCAACAAGCAGCACACACAUGAUUUAUGAAAUUUAGAAUACAGCAGAAUCAAAACGAAUGACUUCAAUUAACUUUUAAACCAGUACCCUCCUAGUGAGAUAUGUUCCAAGAAUAGGAGCAACCACAAAUUUUGCACUUAGGUUGAUUGUUGGUAGUGAUUUUGGUGUUGUAAUUCUGAAAUUAUUUUACAUGUCAUGUAGAAUCAAGCAAAUAAAUAUUAGUGUUGUUCAGAACCAAAAUUCUCACUAUGGGAGAAGGAAAAUACAAAUAUGAAACAGGGAAGGGUGAGGAAGACUAGUGUUAAAUUUGAAAUCAAAGUAUCAGAAUGAAUUCAUGAUUUAUUUUUUAAUUAAUUUUUUAAUUGGAGGAUAAUUACUUUACAAUAUUGUGAUGGGUUUUGCCAUACAUCAACAUGAAUUUAUAAAAAAUGCAGUUCCUGGCUCUGUUCCCUGAAAGGGCCAAGGAGCAAUUAACACCCCAGCAGUACCCAGACCUUGAUUUCCAAAUGCCAUUCCUCAUGAAGAGAAACCAGGGCUCCUUGGAGAAGCAGCCAGUUCCCAGUCUGGGGCAGGAAAAGUAUAAGACAAACUGAGAACAUAUGGCGAAAAGCAAGGACAUGCCCAAAGACUGAUAGGCAUAGAGCAAAAUGACCCACAAAUAAGCUUAAAGGUGCUUCCACUGGCCAAACAUGGAA
RNAcentral lists this long non-coding RNA (2087 nucleotides) under Bos taurus (domestic cattle). RNAcentral describes it as "long non-coding RNA NONBTAT021985". The record is from RNAcentral. Lineage: Eukaryota; Metazoa; Chordata; Mammalia; Artiodactyla; Bovidae.